UCUCUCCCAGCACUGCUACUUGCUUUGACCCACUUUGGAGAGAGAGAAGAGAGAGAAAGAAGUGGCAUUUUCGAUUUUGGUAACUUCCUUCCGCAUCCUUUCUCUCCCUCUUCCCUUUCGUUUCCAUUAAACAAACGACACUCACAUUUUUUUUGUCCAAAAACCAUAAAAAGCCACCCAAAAACCCUCUCUCUCUGUGCGUGCCCAAUUCGAAAGCAAGGUUUCUUCUCUACCCACUUCUCCCUUUGCAUCCAAUUUUCAAAAAACCCCUGCUAUGAUCCUAGUUUCUUCAUGAUGGAGUUUGUGGGCAAAAUCGUGAAGAAAGAGGUCAAAGGUGUUGGGUUUGUCACCGGAACCGUCAAAUCCUACGACCCUUCUUCAAGUUUCGUCGAGAUCCUCUACGACAACGGCGAUUCUGAGGAGCUGGAAUCAAACGAAGUGGUUUUGCUUCUUCAACAAGCUCAGCCGGAGCUCGCUAAGCCAAAGACUCGGGUUGGCCGGAAGCCUAAGAAGCGCCGCCGUGUUGAGAAGAAGGCCGGAGCUGGAGACAGUUCAGGUAAUGCCAAUGGAAAUUUAGUUUUGGAAGUUAGUGAAAUUAGGGAUAAUUCGGAAGUGAACGGUGAAUUAGGUCUUGGAAUUGAGGAAAAGCUAGGAAAUGGGAAUGCUAAUGCGAAUGGGAGUGUGGAGUUAAUUGUGAGUGAUGGAACUCUUGGGAGGGAAAUUGGGGUUGAGGGGGAUUUAAAUUUGAAUAAGGAUGUAGCCGUAAAUGGAAGUUGUCUUAGGGAUGAGCUUGAUUUGAAUUCUGGGAUUAAUCUCAAUGAGGAUUUGAAUCUUAAUGAUGGGUGUGGUUUAUUGACUUUUGAUGGCACUGAGGUUGGUUUAACGAGAAGAGAUUGUAUUGACUUGAAUUUGGAUGUCAAUAAUGACGAUGAUGUCAGCAUGAAUGGAGGAUCUUUGGGCGGCAGGAAGUUGCAGCGGGAAUGUAAUUUUGAUUUGAAUGUCGAGGUGUGCGAAGAUGUAAAGGAAACCCGCGGCGAUGUUGCCAAUGGCAAUGGUAUUUAUGAGGCAAAUGCCAUAUUGGGUAAGAUGGGUCAGCUCCAAGGAGACAUGACAAAUCUUAAUCAGAGAUCUAUGGAAGUUGAUGAUGUUCGUAGCGAUUUGAUUGAGGUUUCCAAAGAUUUCACACCAGAGGUAGAUCAUGUUUCUGCCAACCAUGCAGCUACAGAUGCUUCUUUGUGUUCGAUUGAAGGAAAGGAAGACAACGAUAACAGAGGCGAUAUAGCAGCUGUUGGCUCUCUUCAGGUUUCAGAUGUUGUUUCUGUGGAGACUCAGCAAAUGGAUAGUCCUUGCGAAGCUGGUUUAGUCGUAACUCAUGAAGACCAAGAGGAGACAGGAAGUCUUAGCAAACAAGGAAGGGGUCGAAGGAAAAGAAGAAAAAUAGCGGAUGAACUAAAUAAUACCCCAGAGACAGGUUUAAGGAGGAGCUCUCGCCGGGCAUUAGCAAGAAAACAUGCUUCAAGCGUCAUAGUGUCACUGGAGAUGGAUGAUCCUAUGGUGUCUGUGGAAACCAGUGCCAUGGCAGAAGAAAAACCUGUAACUGUAAUAUCUGGUCAUGAACAGUCCAAAAUUUGUCAGGCGAAGUUGCAAUUACCCCCUUCUUCCCAAAAUUUAAAUUUAGAUGAUGUUCCUGUUCUUGAAGUCUUUUCUAUUUAUGCUUGUUUAAGGUCAUUCAGUACUUUAUUAUUUUUGAGUCCAUUUGAGUUGGAGGAUCUUGUAGCUGCUUUGAAGUCCGAAACCCCCAGUGUAUUAUUUGAUAGCAUUCAUGUUUCUAUUUUGGAAACUCUGAGAAAGCAUUUGGAAUACCUUUCCAAUGAGGGUAUCCAAUCUGCAUCUGAUUGUCUGAGGAAUCUUAAUUGGGAUUUUCUGGACAUUGUCACAUGGCCUAUUUUCAUGGCCGAGUACCUUCUGAUUCAUGGUUCAGGAUUUAAAACUAGCUUUAAUCUUAACUACUCAAAUUUCACAGCUGACUAUUACAAACAACCUGUGAAUGUGAAGGUUGGGAUUCUUCAGUAUCUCUGUGAUGAUAUGAUCGAAGCAGAAGCAAUAAGGUCUGAGCUUAACAGGAGAUCGUUGAUAACUGAGAACAGUGUUGGUUCUGAUCAGAAUAUGUAUUUUGACACUUGUAAGAAACGGAGAGCUGGAACAGAUGUGUCUGGUGGCUCCUGCUUGACUGAGGAAAUUGCAGAUGACACUGACUGGAACAGUGAUGACUGCUACCUUUGCAAGAUGGAUGGUAAUUUAAUAUGCUGUGAUGGUUGCCCUGCUGCAUUCCACUCCAAGUGUGUUGGAAUUGCAAGUGACAAUCUGCCUGAAGGGGACUGGUAUUGCCCUGAGUGUGCAAUUGGCACACAUAGGGCAUGGAUGAAAUCACGUAGGUCACUUCGAGGAGCAGAUUUGAUAGGGAGUGAUAUUCAUGGUCGUCUUUAUUUUAGCAGCUAUGGUUACUUGUUAGUGUCGGACUCAUCUGAUGAGGGGUCUUUGUUCAAUUACUACCACAGAAAUGAUCUACAUUUAGUGAUUGAAGCUUUAAAGUCUAUGGAUACUUCGUCUGGAGGCUUAAUAACGGCUAUCUACAAGCAUUGGGAUAUCCCUGCUAACCCAAGUGUGGAGACUAGUAACUUGGUCGUCUUGAACCAAAGCUCCACCAAGAACCUUCGUGCGAAGGGUGAAUCUUCUGCAAUGAAGACAUCUUUAGCUCCCAUUACUUUUUCAGAAGCAUGUUUGGUGAAUAAUCGUGUGGUUGAUGAAAGAAAGUUAGAUGAAAAUUCUACAAUUGACUGUUGUAAUCAUCCUGGCCAAGAGUUUCCUAAAGCUGGGAAUCGCUUGGAUUCAGCAACAACUAUAGAAAGUCCCUGUGCUGUUUCAGAAGGAUCAGCUGAUACCACACAAGUUAGACCAGGCAUCGAGAAUGUUCAAAUGAAUGGGCUUUACGAUUCCAAUAGAUCUGAUGAGUCCUUGAAUCAGUCAGGGAUACCAGAAAAACAUCAUCCAGUUGGUGACAGUUCUUUGGUAUCAUCUAGCUUAGAUGUGGAACAUAAGAGGAAAUUAAGAUCUGUGGAUGCUAGUUGUGCCCAAUUGCCUGAAGAUAAGGAUACCUCUGAUGUGCCUUUUGGAAUAGACUAUGUAAACUAUUAUAGCUUUGCCCGAACGGCCUCAUUAAUUGCACAUGAGUUGAUGAGUAAGUCACCUGAAAAGAUAAAUAAGAAUAUUGUAUUGACUGAAGACGACAUAAUUUCAGAGCAAGUCAAGGCCAUUAUGAAGAAAUCUACAAGCUUCUGCUGGCCAAGUAUUCAAAACCAGCAUGCAGCUGCCCAAAAGGAAAAUUGUGGGUGGUGCUUUUCUUGCAAAGUUGCAAAUGAUGACAGGGAUUGCUUGUUUAAUUCUGUAAUGAAGCCUGUUUGGGAAGUGUCUGAAAGUACUUUUGGUGGACUUCAUCCCAGCAAGAUCCAGAAUGGACAUCUCAGGGAUAUCAUCUGUCAUAUUCUCUCCCUUGAGGAUCGAUUACGCGGGAUUUUGUUGGGUCCAUGGUUGAAUUUACAACAAACUGAUCUUUGGCAUAAGGAGCUUAUGAAGACCGGUGAUCUUCGUCCUGCUAAAAAGUUAUUGCUUAUUUUGGAAUCCAAUUUGCGGCCUUUUGCUUUUGCAGCAGAUUGGUUAAAGCAUGUGGAUUCUAUUGGUACCAUGGGAUCAGCUAUUCAUUUUGUGGCCAGUUUACGCACAAGGCAUGGUAUUGGGAAGAAAAGGGCUAGGUUUUCUGAUGCUGAACCCAAUCCAUCUUCAAACAAUGCAAGCGGUUUGGGAAUGUAUUGGUGGAGAGGUGGUAAGCUUUCCCGGCAGUUGUUUAAUUGCAAGAGUUUGCCCCGCUCAUUGGUUGCCAAGGCUGCUAGACAAGGGGGUUGCUCAAAGAUUCCAGGCAUUUUGUAUCCUGAAAAUUCAGAUUUUGCUAGGCGAAGCAAAUGCAUUGCAUGGCGGGCUGCUGUUGAGAUGUCAACAAGUGUUGAGCAGCUUGCUGUACAGGUUAGAGAGCUUUAUUCAAACAUAAAGUGGCGUGAUAUUGAAAAUAGCCAUCCUCAAUAUGUCUUGGACAAGGAAUCUAGAAAAGCAGUUAGACUGUUCAAGAAAGCAAUUGUACGCAGGAAGUCCACUGAAGGGAAAUCUGUGAAGUACCUUAUUGAUUUUGGGAAGAGAAGGGCUAUUCCUGAUGUCGUUACCAAACAUGGUUCUGUGUUGGAAGAACCCUCAAGUGAGAGAAAAAAAUAUUGGCUGGAAGAAUCUUAUUUACCCAUGCAUCUUUUAAAGAAUUUUGAGGAAAAAAGAAUCAUUCGGAAGUCCGAUGUAAAGAAACUUGGGAAAACUAUUGAGAUUGGUAGAGUUAAUAGGAAGGUUCCUCAACAAAGAGGAUUUCCGUAUUUGUUUUCUAGACUGGAAAGAUCUGAUUGUCAUCAGUGUGGGCACUGCAACAAAGAUGUUCCUAUCAGGGAUGCUGUGAGCUGCCAAUAUUGCAAAGGACAUUUUCAUAAGAAGCAUGUAAGGAAAUGUAGUGGCACAAGGGCUACUAAAUGCACAUAUUCAUGUCACAGAUGCGAGGGUGGGAUGCGUGCAAAGACUAAAACUAAUUCAAAAAGAAAGAGAGUUGACUCUAAACAGCAGAAGGUUGAAUCACAGACAUGUAAAAAUACUCCCUCAGUUAGUAAGUCGGUGAGCCUUAAAGGCAAUAAAAGGGCUUUGAGUAAGGCACGGAAGGCAAAAUCUCAAACUAAUAAGAAGAUCGCACCAAGUGUACCACUUCGUCGUUCUACUAGGAAGGCCAAAUCAUUGUACAUGUACAGUCAAAUGAAUGGAGGGCGGAAAAAAGGAAUUCAAAGUAAAAAGAAAGUUGGACGUAAAAAGGGGAAGCAAAAUAAAUCAAAGAAGGCAAAUAAUCAGAAGCCGAAAGAAACUACUGCUCAGCAAGAGAAGUGUAUGCCAACUACUGUUUGUAAGAAAAGAACAAACGUUUGUAGCAGCUACUGGCAUAAUGGUCUUUGGUUGUCUAGAAAGCCAAAUGAUGAACGGGUAGUGUUGUUUCGGGAAAAAAAGCAUGUUUUCUCCUCUGAGGGUUUUUCUGCUGCCACUGAUAAUCCUAAAUGCGGCAUUUGUUCUGGAGAUGGACCCGAAUUACAUUAUAUUGCUUGUGACAUAUGUGGAGAUUGGUAUCAUGGGGAUGCUGUUGGGCUCACUGUAGAGAAUUCCAGACAAUUAAUUGGAUUUAAGUGUCAUGUUUGUCUUCAAAGGCAUGCUCCGAUAUGUCCCCAUAUGACAUGUAAAGCACUGUCUCUCACUGGAAACAGCACUAAAGAGUGUGCUGAGGAACUAUCAAAUUCUGUAUCUCUCCAGUUUCCGACUGAGGUUUGAUGAUUUGCUUUGCAUGGUGGAGAUGAGAUGCCACAUUCUUGUAGAGUUUUUCUUCCUGCAAGAUAAGUGAUGCCUGUCUGAGAAAGUUGGUGUCACUUACCACUUUGGUUUGAUUUUUCUUAACCCUCCCUUUGGGUUCCAAAAUCUAUUUGCAGUAUUCUCGUGUUUGCUUUAAGGGAGAAAAAAUGGUCAUGCCCCGAAGUUCAAAGUCCCAACCAGAUAUGAGAGGAUAUUUAAUCUAUUAAACAGUAUUUAGUCCAUGUGGUGAAAGGAGUAAAAUAAUUUGGCGAUCUAAAAUUGUUUUGUGAAAUGCCUAUUAAUUGAAUAUCAUUCUUAACAAAUCAUAUUUGCUAGGAAUAAUUUUGAUGGACUGAAGUGUUUUACGUUUUAACCUUAUUGUGGUUUCUUUUUUUUGUAAAAUAUAGUUAUGCUGCGAGUUAAAUUGUAUAAUUGUGAAUAACUGAAUAAUAACAUGCAAAGAUGAGAAGCUAAGGUGGAGCAUAUUUAUAAGAGAAAUGGCAAAUCAUUGAGCAGAUUUCAUGGCCCCAUGGGAAUGCUUUAGCAUUUGGUUUACUUGUUUAUUGUGUCCCUUUAGAGUGGAGCGAUAUUUCUUGAAU
RNA transcript from Arachis stenosperma, 6071 nucleotides. It is a transcript of the gene named DDT domain-containing protein PTM, with no coding region annotated. The record is from RefSeq and is a predicted model, not a curated record. The transcript has 11 exons. Lineage: Eukaryota; Viridiplantae; Streptophyta; Magnoliopsida; Fabales; Fabaceae.